GACAACCGCGUCAACUAACUUCGGUGCUCCAGUCAGGAAUUGACGGUUGCGACCGAUGGGGAGAUCCCAGAUGAAAGUCGAGCUGAAGUUGUUCUUAACAUCGUAGGUUGAGAUGGCGCGGUCUGAGCUCAGGGGUGCUCCCAGAGACACCUGACCGCGGGCUUGUCCGGUCGAAAGCACACGGGUGUCGGGGCUCGAGUCUGACGCGUCGUCAAUUCCUUUCCCGUAUGUGUAGUUUGCUGUGAACGUGAGUCCGCGACCGACACGCCUGCGCACGUCGAUGUACCCGGCAUGUCGAAUACUGCUUGCUCCCGCAUUGAAGAAUUUGCU
Molecule: unclassified non-coding RNA, 330 nt
Filed under: uncultured bacterium
Lineage: Bacteria
Description: contains 16S-23S intergenic spacer region
Source: RNAcentral